AACGUAGGACGCAAGCGUUAUCCGGAAUCACUGGGCGUAAAGCGCACGUAGGCGGCUUUCUAAGUCAGGGGUGAAAUCCUGGAGCUCAACUCCAGAACUGCCUUUGAUACUGGAGAGCUAGAGUCCGGAAGAGGUGAGUGGAACUGCGAGUGUAGAGGUGAAAUUCGUAGAUAUUCGCAAGAACACCAGUGGCGAAGGCGGCUCACUGGUCCGGUACUGACGCUGAGGUGCGAAAGCGUGGGGAGCAAACAGG
This 253-nucleotide ribosomal RNA is filed under the name uncultured bacterium. Its description in RNAcentral is "partial 16S ribosomal RNA". It matches the Rfam family "Bacterial small subunit ribosomal RNA", at positions 524 to 776 of the family's 1533-position model. The record is from RNAcentral.